RNAcentral lists this ribosomal RNA (301 nucleotides) under uncultured bacterium. RNAcentral describes it as "partial 16S ribosomal RNA". It matches the Rfam family "Bacterial small subunit ribosomal RNA", at positions 509 to 808 of the family's 1533-position model. The record is from RNAcentral.
CAGCCGCCACGGUAAUACGUAGGUCCCGAGCGUUGUCCGGAUUUAUUGGGCGUAAAGCGAGCGCAGGCGGUUUGAUAAGUCUGAAGUUAAAGGCUGUGGCUCAACCAUAGUUCGCUUUGGAAACUGUCAAACUUGAGUGCAGGAGGGGAGAGUGGAAUUCCAUGUGUAGCGGUGAAAUGCGUAGAUAUAUGGAGGAACACUGGUGGCGAAAGCGGCUCUCUGGUCUGUAACUGACGCUGAGGCUCGAAAGCGUGGGGAGCGAACAGGAUUAGAUACCCGCGUAGUCCCUGUCUCUUAUACA